AUGGCCCUGAGUUGAGGUAGGCAGUUUUCUGAAGCUGUUGGUUUCAAGCAAGAGCCUAUCGUGGUAUCUUUCUAUGGUCUGUUGGCCAUUUCAGAACUUUAGAAAGCAAUGAUCAAUUCAUUAGAAAUACACGACU
Cavia aperea (Brazilian guinea pig) is the source of this 136-nucleotide small nucleolar RNA. The record is from Ensembl. NCBI's taxonomy places the organism in Eukaryota, Metazoa, Chordata, Mammalia, Rodentia, Caviidae.